GUUAUCGUUUAUUUGAUAGUACCUUACUACUUGGAUAACCGUGGUAAUUCUAGAGCUAAUACAUGCUAAAAACCUCGACUUCGGAAGGGGUGUAUUUAUUAGAUAAAAAACCAAUGCCCUUCGGGGCUCCCUGGUGAUUCAUAAUAACUUAACGAAUCGCAUGGCCUUGUGCCGGCGAUGGUUCAUUCAAAUUUCUGCCCUAUCAACUUUCGAUGGUAGGAUAGUGGCCUACCAUGGUUUCAACGGGUAACGGGGAAUUAGGGUUCUAUUCCGGAGAAGGAGCCUGAGAAACGGCUACUACAUCCAAGGAAGGCAGCAGGCGCGCAAAUUACCCAAUCCCGACACGGGGAGGUAGUGACAAUAAAUACUGAUACAGGGCUCUUUUGAGUCUUGUAAUUGGAAUGAGUACAAUUUAAAUACCUUAACGAGGAACAAUUGGAGGGCAAGUCUGGUGCCAGCAGCCGCGGUAAUUCCAGCUCCAAUAGCGUAUAUUAAAGUUGUUGCAGUUAAAAAGCUCGUAGUUGAACCUUGG
RNAcentral lists this ribosomal RNA (532 nucleotides) under uncultured fungus. RNAcentral's name for it is "SSU rRNA". It matches the Rfam family "Eukaryotic small subunit ribosomal RNA", at positions 109 to 644 of the family's 1831-position model. The record is from RNAcentral. Lineage: Eukaryota; Fungi.